This 425-nucleotide ribosomal RNA is filed under the name uncultured bacterium. RNAcentral describes it as "partial 16S ribosomal RNA". It matches the Rfam family "Bacterial small subunit ribosomal RNA", at positions 354 to 796 of the family's 1533-position model. The record is from RNAcentral.
GUGGGGAAUCUUGCGCAAUGGGCGAAAGCCUGACGCAGCCAUGCCGCGUGAAUGAUGAAGGUCUUAGGAUUGUAAAAUUCUUUCACCGGGGACGAUAAUGACGGUACCCGGAGAAGAAGCUCCGGCUAACUUCGUGCCAGCAGCCGCGGUAAUACGAAGGGGGCUAGCGUUGCUCGGAAUUACUGGGCGUACAGGGCGCGUAGGCGGACAGGUUAGUCAGAGGUGAAAGCCAAGGGCUCAACCUUGGAAUUGCCUUUGAUACUGGCUGUGUUGAGUUUGGGAGAGGUGAGUGGAACUCCGAGUGUAGAGGUGAAAUUCGUAGAUAUUCGGAAGAACACCAGUGGCGAAGGCGACUCACUGGCCCAAUACUGACGCUGAGGCGCGAAAGCGUGGGGAGCAAACAGGAUUAGAUACCCCAGUAGUCC